This 895-nucleotide ribosomal RNA is filed under the name uncultured bacterium. Its description in RNAcentral is "bacterial SSU rRNA". It matches the Rfam family "Bacterial small subunit ribosomal RNA", at positions 8 to 916 of the family's 1533-position model. The record is from RNAcentral.
AGAGUUUGAUCCUGGCUCAGGACGAACGCUUGCGGCGUGCCUAAGAAAUGCAAGUCGAGCGAGGUUAGUAGCUUGCUACGAAGCCUAGCGGCGAACGGUCGAGUAACACGUAGGCAACCUGCCCUGAAGCGGGGGAUAGCCCACCGAAAGGUGGAUUAAUACCGCAUGUGGUCAUGACUUGGCAUCUUGUUAUGACUAAAGCAGCGAUGCGCUUCAGGAUGGGCUUGCGGCCUAUCAGCUAGUUGGUGAGGUAACGGCCCACCAAGGCGACGACGGGUAGCUGGUCUGAGAGGAUGGUCAGCCGGACUGGGACUGAGACACGGCCCAGACUCCUACGGGGGGCAGCAAUUAGGAAUCUUGCGCAAUGGGGGAAACCCUGACGCAGCGACGCCGCGUGAAGGAUGAAGGCCUUCGGGUCGUAAACUUCUUUUAUCGGGGAAGAAGUAAGUGACGGUACCCGGUGAAUAAGCCCCGGCUAACUACGUGCCAGCAGCCGCGGUAAUACGUAGGGGGCGAGCGUUGUCCGAAGUUACUGGGCGUAAAGCGCGCGUAGGCGGGCUAUUAAGUUGGAUGUGAAAUCUUCGGGCUCAACCCGGAAACCGCAUCCAAAACUGUUAGCCUUGAGGUAUGGAGAGGGAAGUGGAAUUCCUGGUGUAGCGGUGAAAUGCGUAGAUAUCAGGAGGAACACCCGUGGCGAAGGCGGCUUCCUGGUCAUAUCCUGACGCUGAGGCGCGAAAGCUAGGGGAGCGAACGGGAUAGAUACCCCGGUAGUCCUAGCCGUAAACGAUGGAUACUAGGUGUUAGUGGUAUCGACCCCACUAGUGCCGUAGCUAACGCAAUAAGUAUCCCGCCUGGGGAGUACGGCCGCAAGGUUGAAACUCAAAUGAAUUGACGG